RNAcentral lists this ribosomal RNA (1342 nucleotides) under uncultured bacterium. RNAcentral describes it as "bacterial SSU rRNA". It matches the Rfam family "Bacterial small subunit ribosomal RNA", at positions 28 to 1381 of the family's 1533-position model. The record is from RNAcentral.
GAUGAACGCUGGCGGCGCGCUUAACACAUGCAAGUCGAACGAUGAAGCCCAGCUUGCUGGGUGGAUUAGUGGCGAACGGGUGAGUAACACGUGAGUAACCUGCCCUUAACUCUGGGAUAAGCCUGGGAAACUGGGUCUAAUACCGGAUAGGAGCGUCCACCGCAUGGUGGGUGUUGGAAAGAUUUAUCGGUUUUGGAUGGACUCGCGGCCUAUCAGCUUGUUGGUGAGGUAAUGGCUCACCAAGGCGACGACGGGUAGCCGGCCUGAGAGGGUGACCGGCCACACUGGGACUGAGACACGGCCCAGACUCCCACGGGAGGCAGCAGUGGGGAAUAUUGCACAAUGGGCGCAAGCCUGAUGCAGCGACGCCGCGUGAGGGAUGACGGCCUUCGGGUUGUAAACCUCUUUCAGUAGGGAAGAAGCGAAAGUGACGGUACCUGCAGAAGAAGCACCGGCUAACUACGUGCCAGCAGCCGCGGUAAUACGUAGGGUGCGAGCGUUAUCCGGAAUUAUUGGGCGUAAAGAGCUCGUAGCGGUUUGUCGCGUCUGUCGUGAAAGUCCGGGGCUUAACCCCGGAUCUGCGGUGGGUACGGGCAGACUAGAGUGCAGUAGGGGAGACUGGAAUUCCUGGUGUAGCGGUGGAAUGCGCAGAUAUCAGGAGGAACACCGAUGGCGAAGGCAGGUCUCUGGGCUGUAACUGACGCUGAGGAGCGAAAGCAUGGGGAGCGAACAGGAUUAGAUACCCUGGUAGUCCAUGCCGUAAACGUUGGGCACUAGGUGUGGGGACCAUUCCACGGUUUCCGCGCCGCAGCUAACGCAUUAAGUGCCCCGCCUGGGGAGUACGGCCGCAAGGCUAAAACUCAAAGGAAUUGACGGGGGCCCGCACAAGCGGCGGAGCAUGCGGAUUAAUUCGAUGCAACGCGAAGAACCUUACCAAGGCUUGACAUGUUCUCGAUCGCCGUAGAGAUACGGUUUCCCCUUUGGGGCGGGUUCACAGGUGGUGCAUGGUUGUCGUCAGCUCGUGUCGUGAGAUGUUGGGUUAAGUCCCGCAACGAGCGCAACCCUCGUUCCAUGUUGCCAGCACGUAAUGGUGGGGACUCAUGGGAGACUGCCGGGGUCAACUCGGAGGAAGGUGAGGACAACGUCAAAUCAUCAUGCCCCUUAUGUCUUGGGCUUCACGCAUGCUACAAUGGCCGGUACAAUGGGUUGCGAUACUGUGAGGUGGAGCUAAUCCCAAAAAGCCGGUCUCAGUUCGGAUUGGGGUCUGCAACUCGACCCCAUGAAGUCGGAGUCGCUAGUAAUCGCAGAUCAGCAACGCUGCGGUGAAUACGUUCCCGGGCCU